GCAGAAAAGGAGUGAGCAGAACCUGGUGGUGAGUAUUUUUCACUGAACACUGGUUUCUCUUCACCUCAAUACGUUAUUGUUUAAAACCAGUAUUUGUUUAAAUCUGACCAAGAAUUUUAAAGGGAAGGACUCACUCAUAUGCCCCUUGAAAUCAAGGAAAUAAUUUCUGAGCAAGGCUAGUGGAAUAGUAGAUGAGCAUUAAAUAAAUUUUAGAGUGUUAAAGGCAUAAGUGCUGGUGUCAGUAGUUUCACUGUGAUGGAGAGCAAAUGGGAUGGUAACCAGCUGAUACACACCUCAACAAGGAGCUCACGGGGGCAGCUAAGAAAUGGUACAGAGCCAUGAGUAGGAACAGUGAUACACACAACACUAUUUAUCUCAGUGUAGCUGAUAUCUACCCAUGAACAAAUCUCUGAAGCCCCCACUGCUUCCAUAUGUCAAGUGAGAAAUGAGUUUCUUCUGAUCCUUCUCUUCAUUUCUGCCUAAAAGUCCCAGCAUGGCUGUGUAUGGGGACACACAUUUUUGGUCUUUUUGUAGGGUUUCACUGUGACUGCAGGGAAGCAAGCUCCAUCUCAUGUCAGGAGACCUACAGGGAGUCAUGCCACGGUGUGAGCUGCUGCAAAGCCAUUCCCAAACACUGCUGGAGCAGCCCCGUCGAGGCAGGUGCCCAUCAUGGAAUGAGAAAGCAUCUGCAGAAGGACUUCAACAUGAGUUUUUGUCUGUUUGUACGUGUAAAAACACUUCUGAACAUCUGAAUAAGUUACUGACAAGUCCAUCAGGUCCUUCCAGAAACUCAGAUAAAUGUGAGGGAUACCUUCCAUCUCCAUAA
Molecule: long non-coding RNA, 826 nt
Filed under: Anser brachyrhynchus (Pink-footed goose)
Lineage: Eukaryota; Metazoa; Chordata; Aves; Anseriformes; Anatidae
Description: lncRNA (ENSABRG00000006207.1)
Source: RNAcentral